RNAcentral lists this transfer RNA (92 nucleotides) under Verrucomicrobiota bacterium. RNAcentral's name for it is "Verrucomicrobia bacterium (hot springs metagenome) tRNA-Ser". It matches the Rfam family "tRNA". From Rfam's summary of the family: Transfer RNA (tRNA) molecules are approximately 80 nucleotides in length. Lineage: Bacteria; Pseudomonadati; Verrucomicrobiota. The record is from RNAcentral.
GGAGGGGUGGCAGAGUGGUCGAAUGCGGCGGUCUUGAAAACCGUUAUCCUGCGUGAGCGGGAUCGGGGGUUCGAAUCCCUCCCCCUCCGCCA